AUCAGCGCAUUAAGGACUACAACUACAGCAGUCUGACUGGGCGUUACGCAUCAGGUUAUACACUUGAUGAUAUGGAGCAACGUUACAUCCAGUGGGGUAACAAUGUCAUUGUUGGGCAUGGUGCUAUCAGCGCAGGAGCAGACUGGAAACAGGAAAAACUGAUGUCUUUUGGCGCUAAUGGCACGGAUAACUACAAGCGUAAUAACACUGGGCUUUAUCUAACCGGGCAGCAGCAAAUUGAUAACAUCACACUAGAAGCCUCUGGUCGUGAGGAUCACGAUGGCCAGCUAGGUUGGCAUGGCACUUGGCAAACGGCAGCAGGGUGGCAGUUUGUUGAUGGUUACAAAGUAACGCUUUCCUAUGGAACUGGUUUCCUUGCUCCUUCGCUUGGUCAACAAUUUGGCGCAGAGCGGUUUGGUAUUGCUUCUAACCCUAACUUGAAACCAGAAGAAUCUAAGCAAUGGGAGGCAGGAUUAGAAGGCUUGACAGGUCCUGUUGACUGGCGAUUGUCGACCUAUCGCUACAAAAUUCAGAACCUGAUCGACUACAACAACAAUACCUAUUUUAACGUUAAAUCCGCGACCAUUAAGGGCCUGGAAUGGACGGGUAAUUUCACAACUGGUCCUAUCGAUCAUCGUUUAACAUUGCAGUAUGUAGACCCCCGUGAUGAUGAAACUGAUCAACAACUCUAUCGCCGUGCAAAACAGCAGGUAAAAUAUGAGUUGAGCGGUGAGGUUUACGAGUUGGGGUGGGAUGUCACGUAUCAGUACAUUGGUGAACGAUACGAUUACGACUAUGACAGUACCCGUAAGGUGAAAAUGGGAGGACUGAGCGUGUGGGAUAUCGGACUUUCAUAUCCGGUCACCUCUCAUCUGACAGUUCGUGGUAAAAUAGCCAACCUGUUCGACAAAGAUUAUGAGACAGUCUAUGGCUACCAAACUGCAGGACGGGAAUACACCUUGUCUGGCAGCUACACCUUCUGAACCACGUCCCACCGUGCUGGUGUUUGACUCCGGCGUCGGUGGGUUGUCGGUCUAUGACGAGAUCCGGCAUCUCUUACCGGAUCUCCAUUACAUUUAUGCUUUCGAUAACGUCGCUUUCCCGUAUGGCGAAAAAAGCGAAGCGUUUAUUGUUGAGCGAGUGGUGGCAAUUGUCACCGCGGUGCAAGAACGUUAUCCCCUUGCGCUGGCUGUGGUCGCUUGCAACACUGCCAGUACCGUUUCACUUCCUGCAUUACGCGAAAAGUUCGACUUCCCGGUUGUUGGUGUCGUGCCGGCGAUUAAACCUGCUGCACGUCUGACGGCAAAUGGCAUUGUCGGAUUACUGGCAACCCGCGGAACAGUUAAACGUUCUUAUACUCAUGAGCUGAUCGCGCGUUUCGCUAAUGAAUGCCAGAUAGAAAUGCUGGGCUCGGCAGAGAUGGUUGAGUUGGCUGAAGCGAAGCUACAUGGCGAAGAUGUUUCUCUGGAUGCACUAAAACGUAUCCUACGCCCGUGGUUAAGAAUGAAAGAGCCGCCAGAUACCGUUGUAUUGGGUUGCACCCAUUUCCCUCUACUACAAGAAGAACUGUUACAAGUGCUGCCAGAGGGAACCCGGCUGGUGGAUUCUGGCGCAGCGAUUGCUCGCCGAACGGCCUGGUUGUUAGAACAUGAAGCCCCGGAUGCAAAAUCUGCCGAUGCGAAUAUUGCCUUUUGUAUGGCAAUGACGCCAGGAGCUGAACAAUUAUUGCCCGUUUUACAGCGUUACGGCUUCGAAACGCUCGAAAAACUGGCAGUUUUAGGCUGAUUUGGUUGAAUGUUGCGCGGUCAGAAAAUUAUUUUAAAUUUCCUCUUGUCAGGCCGGAAUAACUCCCUAUAAUGCGCCACCACUGACACGGAACAACGGCAAACACGCCGCCGGGUCAGCGGGGUUCUCCUGAGAACUCCGGCAGAGAAAGCAAAAAUAAAUGCUUGACUCUGUAACGGGAAAGCGUAUUAUGCACACCCCGCGCCGCUGAGAAAAAGCAAAGCGGCACUGCUCUUUAACAAUUUAUCAGACAAUCUGUGUGAGCACUCGAAGAUACGGAUUCUUAACGUCGAAAGACGAAAAAUGAAUACCAAGUCUCAGGAGUGAACACGUAAUUCA
RNAcentral lists this ribosomal RNA (2124 nucleotides) under Escherichia coli P0298942.2. Its description in RNAcentral is "partial 23S ribosomal RNA". Lineage: Bacteria; Pseudomonadati; Pseudomonadota; Gammaproteobacteria; Enterobacterales; Enterobacteriaceae. The record is from RNAcentral.